UCGGCUCAGAUUGAACGCUGGCGGCAGGCCUAACACAUGCAAGUCGAGCGGAUGACGGGAGCUUGCUCCUUGAUUCAGCGGCGGACGGGUGAGUAAUGCCUAGGAAUCUGCCUGGUAGUGGGGGACAACGUUUCGAAAGGAACGCUAAUACCGCAUACGUCCUACGGGAGAAAGCAGGGGACCUUCGGGCCUUGCGCUAUCAGAUGAGCCUAGGUCGGAUUAGCUAGUUGGUGGGGUAAUGGCUCACCAAGGCGACGAUCCGUAACUGGUCUGAGAGGAUGAUCAGUCACACUGGAACUGAGACACGGUCCAGACUCCUACGGGAGGCAGCAGUGGGGAAUAUUGGACAAUGGGCGAAAGCCUGAUCCAGCCAUGCCGCGUGUGUGAAGAAGGUCUUCGGAUAAGCACUUUAAGUUGGGAGGAAGGGCAGUAAAGUUAA
Molecule: ribosomal RNA, 439 nt
Filed under: Pseudomonas sp. AE_133
Lineage: Bacteria; Pseudomonadati; Pseudomonadota; Gammaproteobacteria; Pseudomonadales; Pseudomonadaceae
Description: bacterial SSU rRNA
Rfam family: Bacterial small subunit ribosomal RNA
Source: RNAcentral